AGCAUGCUGAAGUAUAGUCUUCUCUUGCUUACUUUUAGUUGCGAUGCAUGAGUUUUGGAUAUCGGGAAAUGUUCAUUGUAGUAAGAUUUUGUUAUGUUUUGAGUUUCUUGGUUUUGCUUACAAGCUUAAAGUUUAUGUCUUGACGCUGGAUCUGGAAUGUGAUUUUCUCAUCGACUUGUCGAAUAAACACUUCUUGUUUGCCUCUGUUUUUGAUUUUGGUGUUGAACAAGCGGAGGUUUGUCGAACUUAGAAUCUAUUUGAGGAUAACUUCUUACUUCAACAUUGGUUGAUUGUACGUUUUCGAUUAUGGCACAUUACUUGCUAACUAUGGUGAUUAAGCCAGCUUGAGCCUAACCGGUCUAGUAUGUUGCAUUUAAACUUUAUAUCUGGGGGUAGGCCUCUUAGUACCAUGAAACCGUGUCUGAGGUGGCUGGCUGGUCACAACAUAUGUGUUGUCAUAGCUCGUGGGAUUGAUUUGCAUAAGAUGGCGUUACAACCGAAAAGUCUCUUUUGCUUGGAUUGGAAGAAAACGUGUAAAGAAGCCAUUUGUUUACACACUCAAAAAAACUUGUAAGAAGAAGAAAACUGUAUAUUAUAUUUGCUUUUAGUGAGAGGUUUCACUUAAAUCUCUGUACAUAUCAAAAUGUAUUUAUAUUUUUUCGGUUCGUUAGUGUAUAUUACGAAGGUGAGUUUCUUUUUUUAAAUAUGUACUGUAAUUGCUAUCAAAUUGUGGUUGUUGUUCUGUAAUAAGUUCCGGCAUGAUUGGUCUCUAUGUUCGUUUUAAUGA
Brassica rapa (field mustard) is the source of this 787-nucleotide long non-coding RNA. RefSeq lists it as uncharacterized. The record is from RefSeq and is a predicted model, not a curated record. NCBI's taxonomy places the organism in Eukaryota, Viridiplantae, Streptophyta, Magnoliopsida, Brassicales, Brassicaceae.